Molecule: non-coding RNA, 149 nt
Filed under: Gorilla gorilla gorilla (western lowland gorilla)
Lineage: Eukaryota; Metazoa; Chordata; Mammalia; Primates; Hominidae
Source: Rfam by way of RNAcentral
GCCGGGCAUGGUGGCCCAUGCCUGUAAUCCCAGCUACUUGGGAGGCUGAGGCAGGGGAAUCGUUUGAACCCGGGAGGUGUAGGUUGCAGUGAGCCGAGAUCGCGCCACUGCACUCCAGCCUGGGCAACAAGAGCAAAACUCUGUCUCAA